GCCUAAUAACAUGACUUUUAAUGUUUUAAACAGAAGCUCGGGUCAACAUUUUAAAUGUCUGCCAACAAACUCAUAGAGUAUUGUGGUGUAACAAGAAUUGGUUUAUAAACGAUAUUCAGAAAUUAUUACGAGGUUUUUAUUAAUGCGAAUAAUGGGACUGAAUGAUAUUUGCAAUUAUAGGAACUCGCAUUCUUAUAUCUGAAAAUCUUUACACUAGUACCUCAUGUAACUGUGUGAUUGUUUUCUUGAAAUUGCAAUAGUUAUAAUCUUGCAUUUUAACGAAUUAUAUGAAAUAAGCAUUUCU
RNAcentral lists this long non-coding RNA (304 nucleotides) under Mytilus galloprovincialis (Mediterranean mussel). The record is from RNAcentral. Lineage: Eukaryota; Metazoa; Mollusca; Bivalvia; Mytilida; Mytilidae.